CUUGCAUAAGUUGGUUUAUUAUGAGCAUCAGUAGAGCUCUGAAGCCUUGUCAACAGAAUUAGAUGUUCCUUUGUCCUGGCUUGUUCUGAGUAGUUGUGUGUUUCGAAGCUGUUGUUUCCAAAGGCAGUGCUCAUGUUCUGAGGCCCCUACACGCUUGUGAUCACCUGACAUGAGUAAUAAUUUGUACUUUUUCAGGUUCCUUGAAGGCUCCCACAAGGCUGUUCCUUGGGGGAGCAGGCUGAUGUGGGAAUCGGAGAAAGAGACUAGAUCAAGCAGGAAUUCUUUCUCAAGAAUCGUCCUGGAAACACAGAGCUUGCCCCCAAGAAGUGGCAACCCUGAGAGACAUAAAUCAAGGAGCCCCUGCUCUGCAGAGCGCCCGAUCUGAGGUGUCCUGCAGACAGCUGAUUAAACCAGGAAGCAGCCAGUAAUCCACCCAAUGGCAGCAGAUUAUGUUCCCCACCGACUCAGGAAGCUGGAAUCUCCCCCUUGGUUUUUUUCACUGCCUUCAGUGCUGUUGAUCAUUUGGGGCAUCUGUCUGGCAGGUGAGUCCUCUCAACCUCAGCUAUCUUAUAAAUGGGCAGCAUGUCUGUGUGAAGGUAAAACAGCAGUCUCUGAGCUCGGAGGUGGGGACCACCUGGAGGUAACAGAGGAGUGAGGGUCUCGCAUGCUCUGUUGAAGAGGGGUAGCUUUCCUCUGCUAAUGAGAUGACUUGAGAUUAGCGUGAAGUGAGAGGGGGAGGAGGGUGGCCAGCCGUGUCGGUGCAGCGCUGUGGGAACUGAGAUGAUGGACUCUAUCAGUGCCAGCGCCAGUGCCGCUGCUAGAGGAAGGGCCAGCUGCUUGGCUGGUGGGAAGAGUAUUCAGGCUUUUGCCCACUCUUCUUUGUUGCUCACUUGAGUGGGCAUUUUGCAAAGGAUCGUUUCUUCUCAGGAAGGGAGGAAGGAAAAUAAAAACACAUCUCCAAGUAGAGGGGCAGAUCAUGGAGUUCAGGCACCCUUGUCCCCAGGUUACUGUAACAGCCACUUAUGGGGCUUGGCUGCUCUGGGUCUCAAGUCUCAUGUGACCCCAGCAGGCUUGUGGAACUAGCUCACAUGUUCUGGGUGUGAACAAAACUUGCUAGAGAGAAGGGAAUUUUUCAGUGAAAGAGGUGGAGAGGGAUCCCUGAGACGUUGGCCUUUGUCUAAUAGUUCUCUCAUUCAAUCCCAAGUGGCAGUUUUUAGCACAUGCCCUUGUGUAUUUCCAGACAUUGUCAUUUUCCUCCUUUCAUUCAAAAAAGAAAGCCAGAGGCAGUCAAACGACUGACUGUUUAACUAGUGGGUGACCAGUUCCUGCACCCAUGAGGACAUGAGGAGGCUCGAAUCAGGGGUGGAUUUUAUUAACAAAGACCCUCAUCCUGCUGUCUUCAGCCCAGUGCUGCCAAGGAGAUUUGGGGCCCUCUAAUUAGCUUGGACAUGCCACGGGGUGGGGUGGAGGGGUCACUGCAGGACUUCAGCUUCUGAGACUGUGGAAUGCUUUAACAGAGAACACCAACUAGUAGAGGGAAGGCCAAAAGUCAGUUGAAAGAAGAUUUUAUUCCACUGGAGGUUAAAUUUAAAUAAAAGAUGUUCAUCUUUUUAAAAAAACUGUGUCAUAGUUGAUUUACAAUGUUGUGUUAAUGGCUGCUGUGCAGCAAAGUGAUUCAGUUGUACAUGUAUAUUUUUAUAAUGCUCUUCUCCAUCAUGGUUUAUCAUAGAAUAUUUUUAAAAUUCUUUAUGUAUUUUUGACCAUGCCGGGUCUUUGCUGCCGUGCAGGGUUUUCCCUAGUUGCGGUGAGCAGGCGGCUGCUCUCUAGUCGUGGGGCAGAGCUUCUCCCUGCAGUGGCUUCUCCUGUUGUGGAACAUGGGCUCCAGGGCAUGGGGCUUCAGUAGUUGGG
This 1908-nucleotide long non-coding RNA is filed under the name Cervus hanglu yarkandensis (Yarkand deer). RNAcentral describes it as "lncRNA (ENSCHYG00000020645.1)". Lineage: Eukaryota; Metazoa; Chordata; Mammalia; Artiodactyla; Cervidae. The record is from RNAcentral.